CUUAUUUUCUCUGCUGCACUUUUGAUUCUGUUCCUUUGUUAAAGUUUUAACGUGAAUCACAGACAUAAAGUGACCAAUUAAUCUGUGUUGGUCUUUCAUCGACCUUUAGGUGACCUUUGUGUCUAUGAAACAAUCAGAGGCCCUGAAAACUCUGGAAAAGGGAAACUUGAUGAUUCAGAGAAGAUCUGACAAAGUUGAUGCAACUUCAGAAUAAAACAUCAAAGUAGGUCCAUGGAGAGAAGUUCAACACAACCAUAUCAGGAAAAUCUCARUUUACKCACCAUUAGAUGUUUACCUGUAACAUCUGUC
Non-coding RNA from Poecilia reticulata (guppy), 309 nucleotides. The record is from RefSeq and is a predicted model, not a curated record. Lineage: Eukaryota; Metazoa; Chordata; Actinopteri; Cyprinodontiformes; Poeciliidae.